Molecule: long non-coding RNA, 1552 nt
Filed under: Capsicum annuum
Lineage: Eukaryota; Viridiplantae; Streptophyta; Magnoliopsida; Solanales; Solanaceae
Description: long non-coding RNA (CANN_LNC020927)
Source: RNAcentral
AAAAGGAGAUAAACAUCUUAAUAUAUAUUUAAUAUAACCUUUAUAAGUAAUUACAUGUUACAAGUCAAUCUAAAAAUAAAAGUCAUUCCAAAAAUAUUCUAGACGACUUAUGUACACCCAAAAAGGCUAGCUUGACCAAAUCUCGUGGUAAACAUCAAUUAAUAUCUCGCCCCAAGGGUCGCGGAGAGAAUUUGUUAAAAUGGCUAAUGCUUCCCAAUCCAAGAUUUCUACAUAAUUUUCCAGUUCUACACGUUUUAUCUCAAACAGAUGUAUAAAACUAGCAACACUAAUGUUAGGCGACAUCUUAAAAGACUUGAAUUCUUUCAAUUUCCUCUCUCUUUUCCUUUGCAUAGCCCUUUCAUUCCGUAACCAAUUUUGUGUCGCUCUAGGGAUACUAUUUCGUAUGAUCUCUCAACCUCAAAAAUAUGCCCUUCGACGACGUGCUCUUCUACCUUGUCUCUUUCCUCGACAUCCAAAACUCUAACUUGGAGUGAUUCGAGCUUGUCCCCGUUCAGUCAUUUCUGAAAUAGGAACCAAGAAACAAUAAGAAUGAUAUUUUCAUUCAAUGCGACAACUUAUGUCAUAAUUUUUAUUAUAGAAGUCACAAUCUGUUUAUGAUGAAUUUAGGAAUUUAUUAAGACAAGAAUUAUAUCAAGUCUAAUUCUGAUAUUUAUAUCACCAAAAUUAUUAAGAGUCAUUAUUAAUACAAUAUAAAAAAAAUUCACAAUUCCACAAAGUAAAUGAGAAUUUUCAUGAUAAAUAAGAGACUUUUAAUACACAAUUUCCCAAAAAAAUUGGAAUAAUAUAUUAAUAGUGUUCCAAGAAAAGACUAGCAAUUUCUUUAUUUCAUUAAAAAAAUAAUAAUAACACUUCCACUGGAAGUUUCUAUCCAACUGUUUUAAAAAACAUAUGUUGUAUCCUUAUGACUGUUAUCCUUUUCUCUGUACUACCGCCUCCAUUCACAUGAAACCUUUUUUAUUAUUAUUAUUAAUAAUUUAUUAACAAACGAAUUUCUAUGAGUGAAUCUCAAAGACAAACAAACGGAUACUAACUUCACCAGAAAACAAAGGAAACAGAAACUACUAGAUCUGUGAUUCAAUGGUUGCACAUCUGCCUUCAUAGGAGAAAGUUACAUAAAUUCGUGAUUUAUUCACGUUGGGUUCUAUCCCUUGAUCCAUUCAGUUUCUUUUUCUAAUUUAAUCGGUGAGUUACAUACAAUUUUCGAUUUCUUUGAAAACAGAAGUUUCCAAAAGAAAAUGUCAUCAGUUUCUAAACACCAAUUUAACAUGCAAAAUAGGGCAAUUAACCUGGCUCUGAUGCCAUUAAUAGUAAUUUCGGAGUAAAAACAAUAAGUUGUGUACCUUCGAAUUUGCAGCGGAUCUUGAUUUUUGCUUUCGAAAGGAUCUUGCUCUAAGUCGAUUUCUUUUCUCUUGAAAACGGAAUGAUAUCUCACAAAACUAAAUGCCUUCUUUGUUGAUGUUGUUCAGGUUUUGUGUUUCUGGAUACUUAAGAAUUUUUGUGUUUUUCUUAUCUGUGUAUUGCUUUGAAGAAG